CUUCGGGGUUAGUGGCGGACUGGUGAGUAACGCGUGCGCGAAUCAUGCCCUCAGGCAGGGGGAUAACGGCUGGAAACGGCCGCCUAAUACCCCUAUAUGCCGAGAGGUGAAAUGAAUUUCCCCUGAGGAUGAGCCCUGCGUCUGAUUAGCUAGUUGGUGGGGUAAGAGCCUACCAAGGCGACGAUCAGUAGCUGGUCUGAGAGGAUGAUCAGCCACACUGGGACUGAUACACGGCCCGGACUCCUACGGGAGGCAGCAGUGGGGAAUUUUCCGCAAUGGGCGAAAGC
This 287-nucleotide ribosomal RNA is filed under the name uncultured cyanobacterium. RNAcentral's name for it is "partial 16S ribosomal RNA". It matches the Rfam family "Bacterial small subunit ribosomal RNA", at positions 84 to 382 of the family's 1533-position model. The record is from RNAcentral. Lineage: Bacteria; Bacillati; Cyanobacteriota.